GCAGCGCCGCUUACGACGCCGGGGCUACCAUAGAGACUCGGGGGCAGAGCUACGGGAGCGGCGCGCGGAAUGCUGGGAUAGCGGAGGUCCGCCGAGCGCUUCCUGCGGGCUUAGCUGUUCCAGACAGCAACCCUAGUUCAUAGCGUCUACCAAACCCUGUGCAUCAAACAUGAUAGACGAGGCCAUUUUCCUCAGGAGCUCGUAGUCUAUGCAGAGGCGUGUAAACAGGAAGCUGAAAUAUGGCCCAAGAUGGAGGGAAAGUCUAUAAACUGUUUGUCGCCAAAGUUGGUGCCCUGAAGAGUUAAGCCUCUAAUUAGACCGGGAGUUGAUUUAUUAGUACUGCAGGCUUCGACAUUUCCUCACUGUUAAGACCGACUGGAGACACAAGUUGUCUUUUCAAGGGUUGGAAGAAGACAUUUCUCCAUGGGAUGAAAACUCAAGCUUGUAGUCUGCUCAUGAAUAAGCUACACAGGCCGUGCUGCUGAAUCAGCCUUGGGACAGAAGGCAAGAAGCACUAUAAGGUGCAGGUAUGAGCUACUGCCGGUGGCUGGUUCCCCGGUCAGCUAUGCCAGCUGAUCCUGCACCCCACCUGCUCUUCAACCAGACAGACUCCACUGCCCUGCCAGCCCACGAAGCCAUCAGCUGAGAGACUGGAGGGCGAGCACAUGUGGAAGCUCACAGAAAUUUAACCGAUUUCAAUGCACGCAUCUGUACACAGAUGAGCUUAGACUCUAACUGAGGAAGCUAGAAAAAGGCUAUGAGAAUGAAUGCACAGGAAAAGGAGGGGACUAGCAGAUACGAAGUAAAAAAAAAGAAAGAAAGAAGGAAACCUAGGUAAAAUAUAUAAAUUUUGAGAAAAAAGCACAAAAGGUAUAACUGGCACAAGAAGAAAUAGAAAAGUUUAAUAGACUCAUACAAUUAAAUUUUUUAUGGUCAUCAAAGUAUUUUUACAGUUUUAUCGUUGAAUUUCAACAAAUUCUUAAAGAACUGUUAAACUUUAUAUGAGUUAUUCCAGAAAAUAGAAAAAGAGGCAAAGCUGCCCAAGUAAUUCUGUAAAGCCAGUAAAAUCUUCAUUUUCAACCCAAAGGAAAACAGAGCAAGAAAAAAAAAAAUAAGUGCACUUCACUGAUGAACACAGAUGAGAUAUUCUAAAUAAAGACGUCAGCUAAUGGACACAGAUGCUCCUGGACUUACAAUGGGUAGUCCCAAUUGAUCUAUCCUAAGUUGAAAACACUGUGCUUUUUACACACCCAACCUACUGAACAACCCAGCUUAGCGACAGAACACACUGUAGACAGCCAGCUGUUUCCCUGGCUGACUGGGCCAGUGAGGGCUGCCCCAGCCCACCCUGACAGAACACCCUGCAUCACUAGCCCAGGAAAGAGCCAAAUUCAAAUUUUGAAGGAAGGUUUCUGUGGAAUACAAGUCACUUUUGUACCAUCAUAAAGUCCAAAAUAUUCCAAGUCUAAUCAUCAUUAAAUUGGGACCACUGUGUUUUUAAAAAACAAUAUGAUGAUCAAGCAAGUUUUAUCUUGGGAAUGCAAAAGUGGUUUAACAUAACAAAGUUUCCAUAUUAAUGGACUGAAAGACAAAAAGUCCAUAUUACUCAAAUAACUGUGGAAAAAUAACCUGCUAGAAACUAUGUUUUUAAAAAACUAUUACGGAGGCCGGCACUGUGGCAUAGUGGGUAAAGCCGCCACCUGCAGUGCUGGCAUCCCAUAUGGGCACCAGUUCAAGUCCCUGCUGCUCCUCUUCCGAUCCAGCUCUCUGCUAUGGUCUGGAAAGCAAUAAAAGAUGGCCCAAGUCCUUGGGCCUCUACACACGUGUGGGAGACCUGGAAGAAGAUCAUGGCUCCUGGCUUCGGAUCAGCCCAGCUUUGGCCAUUUCAGCCAUUUGGAGAGUGAACCAGCAGAUGGAAGAUAUUUUCUCUCUCUCUCUCUCUCACUCUCAUUCUCACUCUGCCUUUCAAAUAAAUAAAAUAAAUCGUAAAACAAAAAAGCCACACCACCAAUUCUUAGUAAUACAAACAACACUGGGGCCAGUGUUGUGGUGCAGCAGAUUAAGUCACUGCUUGUGUCCUGGCAUCCAAUAUGGGGGCACUGCUUCGUGUCCUGGCUGCUCCGCUUCUGAUUCAGUCCCUGCUAAUGUGCAUGGGAAAGCAGCACAGAUGAUGGCCCAAGCACCUGAGCCCCUGUCACCCAUGUGGGAGACCAUGAUGGAGUUCCUAGCCCCUGCAUUGGCCUGGCCUCCCCCUCUGACUGUUGCCGGCAUUUGGGAAGUGGACCAGUAGAUAGAAGAUAUCUUUCUCUUUGCCUCUCCCUUUCUCUGUCACACUGCCUUUCAAACGAAUAAAUAAAUAAAAUCUUUUUUAAAAACUCAUUGUGGGGCCGGCGCCGUGGCUCAAUAGGCUAAUCCUCCACCUGCGGCGCUGGCACACUGGGUUCUAGUCCCAGUUGGGGCGCCGGAUUCUGUCCCGGUCACUCCUCUUCCAGUCCAGCUCUCUGCUGUGGCCUGGGAGUGCAGUGGAGGAUGGCCCAAGUGCUUGGGCCCUGCACCCCAUGGGAGACCAGGAGAAGCACCUGGCUCCUGCCUUCGGAUUAGCACACUGCGCCAGCGCACUGUGCUGGCCGCAGCGGCCAUUGGAGGGUGAACCAACAGCAAAGGAAGACCUUUCUCUCUGUCUCUCUCUCACUGUCCACUCUGCCUGUCAAAAAAAAAAAAAAUUGUGAUACUUGCACAACAACAAAUAGAGCAGUGACUGAACAGAAAGCUUACAUGGAUGCCUGUACAUGUGACUUGCUAUAUCGUUGUGGAAGCAUCGCAAAUCAAUGGCAAAAAAUUCAUGAUGCUGGCUAAGCUGACUGAUCAGAUAGGGAAAAUGAAGUAAUGAUGUACUUUACACCACACAUAAACAUGUACUCCCAAGGAAUUAAAGACCAAGAGAUGCAAGGUAAAAGCAUAAAGCCAACAAAAUAAAAUGUAAAGACAUAUUUUCUCCUUUCCUUCUUUUAAAGAUUUAUUUAUUUAUUUAAAAGGCAGAGUUAUAGAGAGGCAGAGGUAGAGAAAGAGAGAGAAAGAGGUCUUCCAUCUGAUGGUUCACUCCCCAAAUGGUCCAAAUGGCUGGAGUUGGCCCGAUCUGUAGCCAGGAGCCAUGAUCUUCUUCUGGGUCUCCCACGCAGAUGCAGGGGCCCAAGUCCUUGGGCCACCUUUUACUGCUUUUCCAGGUCAUAGCAGAGGGCUGGAUUGGAAGUGGAGCAGCCAGGACUCAAACCAGUGCCCAUGUGGGAUGCCAGCACUGCAGGUGGUGGCUUGACCCACUAUGCCACAGCACCAGCUGAGGAAUGGCUUUUUGAAGCAAAGAAGCACAACCCAUACUGCCUGGCACUGGCACUGUGGUGCAGUGGGUCAAGUUGCCACUUGCAAUGCCGGCAUCCCAUGUCAGAGUGCCGAUCUGAGUCCAGAAGGUGUUCUCCUAGACCUUUAGUCUGUCUUGUACAUACAAGGUGUGAUGUGGUGAGAGUGGGGGGGAGGGGAGCUGCAUGCAGUCUGAGAGAAAGGCAUUCAAAAGUACUUCAAAGAGUUCAUGGGAAAACGGAAUUAACAGUAGGAGUUCAAUGAGGUGUAAAAAACCUUUCUGGUGCAAAAUAUUUUUGCAUAAUAAGUGGAAAAUGCAUAUUAUGAAAAAUUUAUUAAUGGAUUUCAUUUUUUGCUCCAAAAUACACUCAUAAUUUUAAUUCCAUUUUCUGUUACAUUUUAAAAAUAUAGUAAAUGUGCCUUAUUUAGAAGCAACACACUAGAUGUGUGCACACAGAGCAACAUGGGUAGAUUUUCAAAACAUUCUGCUGUUUUGAUAGUUAUAAUGCUGUCUUCAGUGAAGACAGCAUAUUAUGUAAUAAUAUACCCUUCUUUCCUCACUUUAUGAUCCUUGUCAUGAAUCCCACAGUAUGUGAUAUUAAUAUCCCCACUUUGAAGAGCAAUGAUGUGUCUGUGUAAUAUUUACAUAGGAAGUGAAUAUGGCAAAAUGUCAAAAAUUAUUAAAUAUAAAAAAAUAGAAAUUUUGUUGUGUUACCAAACAAUGCAGACAUGAACACAGUUCAGUCCUGUGCAUACUUGAUGACAUAAACAGACCAGGAUGAGUAUCCAAAUGACUGCCUAUUGGUAAAGCAGCCACUGGUGUUGAAACAAAUUAAAGUUAAAUCAAGGAGCCAAGGAUGCAAGAGUGUGAUGAACACAACGGUUCUGGAGAAUAAAGGGAGAAAAUACAAAUCCCAAUGUUUCACUGUCCAGUUGUUCCUGCUAGUUCUCCUGUGAUCGCCAAGUACUGAGUACAUGCAUGCACACAGAUACACCCUGAGAAAGCCAAGCCAGGCACACUGGCUUUGUUUCCUUUCUGGCGGAAUGUAUUUGCACAUCUAACCAGCGGCCAGAUCGGUUAGGGCAUUGAAGCUGAUUUGUGCCUUGGUUUUCUCCCUUCCCUUACACAGAUGCCUCCGCAGGAUCAGCACCCACCCAGCAGCUUCUGAGAAUCAGUAAUAUCAAAUGACGAAAAAUAACUCGCAAAACUAAAAAGAUAUAAUUCCAAAUAAUUUAGUGAAAAUGCAGCCACUCCAGGUACUGAACUAUUUUUUUUUUUUUUUUUUUUUUUUUGCACAAGUGAAUUGGAGAAUUGGGUAAUUAAGCAGUAAUUUUGAUUAGUAGUUGCCAACAUGAAAUUAAAACCCCUGUGGCUCAACAGGCUGAUCCUCCGCCUAGCGGCGCCGGCACACCGGGUUCUAGUCCCGGUCAGGGCGCCUGAUUCUGUCUCGGUUGCCCCUCUUCCAGGCCAGCUCUCUGCUGUGGCCCGGGAGUGCAGUGGAGGAUGGCCCAGGUGCUUGGGUCCUGCACCCGCAUGGGAGACCAGGAGAAGUACCUGGCUCCUGCCAUCAGAUCUGCGUGGUGUGCCGGCCGCAGCGGCCAUUGGAGGGUGAACCAACGGCAAAGGAAGACCUUUCUCUCUGUCUCUCUCUUUCACUGUCCACUCUGCCUGUCAAAAAAAAAAAAAAAAAAUUAAACCCCAAGCUUUUCCUCUUGCUCAAUGGAAAAAAUGUCAAGAUGUUUCUGUCUCCAUACUGAAAGAGAAAGCGCAGCUCCCAAGCACACUUUAUUGACAUCACCAAGAAACUGAAACAAUAGUGUGGUCAACCAGAGGAUUCCUGCUCUUCCCAACUAAUACCAUUGAAAGUAUUCAGAUGCUAAUAGUUAAUACUUGUGGGGAGUUUGCAUGAAAUACCUGAGACUCUCCUGAGGUGAUUACCACCAUUAUUACCUUUUAGUUCAAAUGAGGAAACCAAGUCUGAGAGAUGGGAAAUAUUGAUCUAUAGAUUAGCUAGCCAUGAAAUGGUCAAAAUGAUAUGCCCAAGGCAAUCUCUUGAGGGUGGACAGGUGUGGCUAGAUGUUUUCUAGAAGGGAGUGGGGGGGAGGGUUAACACUCCAACACUCAAGAUAUGAAUUUUAACUGCUCUUUCAACUUGUUUUAUAUAAGUAUAUAAACUUCAUGUAUUUCAUAAGUACAAAUUUAGGAGCAUAGUGAUUCUUCCCACCCUACCCUCCCUCCCACCUGCACUUUUACCUGAUAUCUUAAAUAGGUUUUUUAACAUUAUUAAGCUAGUAGUCACAUCUGAGAAUCUAAUAAAGCUGAGGCCCUCUCAGAACAAAUGCAAGUGUGAGUAUACACCUGGAAGUUUUUUACCUGGAAUCUUAGAAGUUCAUAAACUCCAUGAAUCAGCCUCAAUUGAGCAGCCCCAGGUAUAAAUGGUAUCUAUGUCAUCCAGAGGACUAGCUGACAUUUUCCUGUAGUUUUAAAAAUUUUGAUGAAUGCCCUUUUUAAAAAAAUAUUUAUUUUAUUUAUUUGAAAGGCAGAAUGCCAGAUAGAAAGGAGAGACAGAGAGAUUUUUUUCAUUUGUAGGUUCACUCCCCACAUGGCCACAAAUGCCGGGGCUGGACCAGGCUGAAACCAGGGACCUGGAACUCCAUCUGGGUCUCCCAUGUGAGUGGCAGGGAGCCAAGGACCUGGGCCAUCUUCCACUGCUUUCCCAGGUGCCUGAGCAGGGAGCUGGAUGGGAAGCGGAGCAGCAGGGGCUCAUGCCAGCAUUGCAAGGGGGCAGCUCUACUCACCGGGCUACAACUCUGGCCUCUCCUGUAGUUUUAAUGAUUAUGAUUCAGCCCAUUCAUUCAUUCAUUCAUUCACUCAUUCCAACUUUCUACAAAUAUUUACUCAUUAUCUACUGAGUGCCAGAACUCCAAAAACUGAAAACACAGUUGCCCUGCAGGACUCUGGGAUGGUAAGGGUACAAAUUAGGGCAGUGGGUGCCUAUGACAGAGUUGGUCAGCCCCAACAUUAUUGACAUUUUGAACCAGACAACAAUUGAUGGUGGAAGAUGUCCCAUGUCCCCUGCACACUAGCUCCAGUAGCACCUCCUCUCCCACUUGAGAUACCCCCAAAUAUCUCAGACAUGGCCAGAUGGCCCCUGGAAGGAAAUGGCCCCUGAUUGAGACCCGGUAACGGGGAAAGAGCUGAGUCAGCCCAGUCAGGGAAGGGUGUGCAGAGGAGGAAACGAUGGAAUCCGACCUGAGGAAGGUUGGGCUGCCUUCCUCUCGAUCCAGUGUCCACGUGGAGGAUGUUUAAAAGUGCUUCCCUGGCCUCUCGGUCCCCUUUCCUCACUCUGUCCCAGUGAAUAGAAAAUGACUCGCUUGCAUGGUAAGUCUGAAAAAGAGGGAUGGGCUUCCUGAGCUGUUUCCUUCGUUGGGACCUGCCAUCCACAAGGUGCACGUGUAGCAGCGCCUCCCCAGGGUCUCAGGCUGUCAGGGAAUGUUCUUCCCGUGAGCCCUGCUGCAGUGGGCUGGCAGCUGCCCCAGGCUGGGCUUUUUAUUAGCCUCCCCACUAGGUGCACGGACCACCUGUGCCCCAGUCCUAAUCCAAGUGUUAUUUAUCUCCCAAACCUUCCUCAGAGCAGAGCUGGGGAUAAGGAGUCUUCUACGCUGAGUUCCUUCACCGAUGCCCUCCUAGGAGAUGGUGAGGAGUGCAUCGGGUAGAUUCGUGGGGAGGGGGGAGUGCAGGCCAAGGAAGUGUCAUCAGCAGAAAUGAGAAAUGAUGUGGUUAUGGGCUGUUCAGGAAGCUCCAGUGCAGUGAGCAGUCUUGGAAUCAUCGGAGCAGCCGAUGACAGAGGCAGGGACUGGGUCACAAAAGGCCUCCUGUAUCCCGCUGAGGAAUCUAGAUUUUUUUUCCUGAGAUAAUUGUUGGUGGCUGCGGAGGAAGAGUUGAGAGAGCGUGGGUGCUGCAGAAGUCGGUCAAGAGCGAAUGGGGCCUCAGCAAGGGUUGGAGUGGCGUGCACGGAGCUGUUUCUAUGACGUUCGUGCCCGCAUCUCAGUUGUUCCUAAUUGAUCUAAGGCAAACUGCAUUCAUUGUGCUGAUUAGGAGUCAAGUUUGCAGUGGCAAAUAAGAAUGGGUGGGGAGGGCGUCUCCUUUGAUGCUUGGUGUGAGUUUUUCUCCAUUUGUCCACUGAAGUGCUCUAUGAGUUAGCAAAUCCUGCACUCGGGAAAGAAUUCACCACUGAGAAGGACACAGAUGUGAAGCAUGACUGACAGAGGAGUCACAGGGCACCACUAAAGGGUCCGCGAAGCCAGACUGGGAGGAAGAGUCAGGGGGCUUCGAAUGAGAGGCAAAUAAUUCACAAAGGUGCUGAUUCUACCCAAUUUCAUUAAAGACUUACAUAAGCAAAUGGGUUUUAACAGAAGCCUAAAAGCAUUAGAUGGGCUGGAAUAAAAACAAAAAGUUUUGGCGAUAGGAAUAGAAUAUUGGAAUUACUGGGAGAACUGUGGCAUGUCCUGCAACAGAGUCCCUAGUAGUAGGCCUUCUAACUAUGGUAUAUACUGGAUGUGAGAUACCUUAAAAGGAAGAUAUAUGGGGGCAUUCCAAAAAGUGCGUGGAAAAGGCAUCGUGUGAGAACACUAAGCAUAGAUUUUUAAAUGUUUUUCAGUAAAAUACGUGUAUUUAAUUCCAUUUCCCACAAACUUUUUGAAGUACCUGUGUGUAAAAAAGACUGCUAUGCAUAUAUGCUAAAGCAUUGAUUUUUAUUUUGUUUAACACCAAAAGGAUCAUUUUGGAUUUCCAGUGUAGCAACCAGAAAAAGCAAAAUACAUCCCACUCUAGAAAUUGGCUGAUAUUUUCUUAGAUUCAUUUCACUUAACAAACACUUUUGAGCUGUUCUAGGUGCUGGGCAUAAAAGACUGAACAAAGGAGGCAAAAAUUCACAUCUAUAUAGAGUUUACAAUCUCAGUCAGCUGUGAUUGGGAUACUGGGAUUUUAGAUAGAUAUUGGGGCUAAAGAGAAAAACUCAAUGAGAAACGCAGUUCUGUGGGUGUCUUGUGCAAAUGGGAAGAGGUAUAAGGGGAUGUGCAAGUUCAGACAGAGUGGCUAGGAAAGGCAUCAGUGUAAGGGUGGCAUCUGAGCAAAGCCUGAACGUCAAGGGAGAAAGCCACGAUGUAGCUCUAUUCUCUGGCAGAAGGAUUAAGAGGUGCAAAGGCCCUGGGUCAGGCAUAUGCUGGAGAUUCAGUGAGCGAGAAAGAAACAAAUUAGUAGAAGAGUAAUAGGAGAGAAGAUCUGAGAGAUGAGGAGGGCAGAUCACACAGGGGCUAGAACAUCUGUAGAAGGGCUUGGGUCUCUGUUUAUACCCAAAGCAAUGGAUUUUAAGCAAAGAAGUAACCCUAGAGCACUAUGGGUACCCCCUGAGAAUAAACUAUGGGUGCUGGUAGCAGAAGCAGGAAAUCCAGUUAGAGGACUUCAGUAUCCCAGGUGGGAUGACAGGGGUCUGGAAAUAUGAUGAGCAGCAGCUGGAUUCUGAGCAUUGUUUUUUCUUUUUUUUUUUUUGAGGGUAGAGUCAGUAGGACUCUCUGAUGGCCCAGAUGAGAGUAUGAAAGAGAAGGGGCAAAGAAAACUCCAAACUUUUUUUACACAAGCAACUGAAAGAAUGGGGCCACCCAGAAAUCGAGGGCUCUGUGAAAGAAGAGGCUUGGGGUGUGCGCAGCCAAAGCUCCAGUUUGUCUCAGUGGCAUGAGAGGCAGCCUGGUGUCAACGUCUCUACUACGCAGGCAGCUCUGGGAGGGCAGCGGAUUGUCUGUCUCACUGCACCCGUUUUCCCCGCCACCACUUCACACAGUCCCUCAUUGACCUACUGCUACAAAACAAAACAAAAUACCUCUGCUCUUCCAAGUUUUAAAAUGCACAUGACAAUUCUGCUUUGCUUUAAAUUUGCUCUUGGGUUUUAUUUUGUCUAAUAAAACGCAAUACACAUUAAAAUGCCUGGCACACGGUAGGCGUUGAAUAAAUAUUUGUUGAAUGAAUGAAUGGUAGUGGGGAAGCCACAGAGCGAUUUCCCUUUCCUGAGAAGACCACACAGGAGUGGAAGGAGAGCACGGCCAUGCUGUUAGGGUCUAAAUAAGAACCACUCUAUAUCUGUGCAUUUUCAGAAAACCAGUGAGAGAUGAGAAAUCCAGAAAUCCUUUACUGCUGUAGACCCUAGAGACUUGGACAAAAGCCUUCAAACAACAUAUUCCAUUAAAGAAAGAACUUUUGAAGAGAAAAAUGCUAUGUUUUUUCCUUUUCCUAAUCUCAGCCUUGCAACUCAAACCAAGCAUAAAGAAUUGGCAGUAUUUUUUAAAGCCUUCCUACGAUGAGAGAUUGAAAACUCAACAGUGUUCCCAGCCAACAAGAGAGUGGUUUGCAGCUUGAUGGGCAGAUAUAUUAAUCUGAGGGCUGUGCAGCUGUGAAUGACUCACGGGUAACAUACAAUGUAGUCUUUGGGAAGAGAGCGUAAAGAUCCAAGACAAAGACCUUGGGUAGAUUUGUAAUCCAUGCGUAAGGACCCUUCUGGAAAAAACGUCUGAAUCUUAUACAGGAAUCCUCAGAACAGAGGCAGCAAAUACCAUGGCUGGGUAUAAAUGCUUAAUUAGGGGCAUAGCUUUACUCUCAAUGGUUGAGAAAGGCCCCUCCAGUGUGGGAAGGGGAUGCUAAUGUUUGGUGAACAUGACAAGGCAGCGGAUGAAAAGGUUCUAGUUCCUCAAACAUAUCAUGAAAAUCUGGUUGUGUCUUGGAGGGAGUUGAUGCUGCGGUGGAACGGAGUGGAGGGCAAGUGCCUGACUCGGGGCAGGGCAGUGGAGGAAGUGCACCUGUGUGAGAGAGGGCAGAAUGGAAACAAAAGCCUUCAGCUUGAGAUGCAGCUCUGGCAUCCGUGGAAGAAAGGGGACCGGGAAGCAGAAUUCACCAGGAAGGGCCUCACGGGAUGAGAAACAGGCAACAAGGUCUAGGCAACUUAACAGGGAACUGCAGAGCGAAGACAACAGGGCAGAACUGGCCAGACCGUAGUGCCCAGCCAUGACCAGGCAUUGGCCGGGGACUUCCUUGCAAGAUGGUGGUGACCUCUGCGGCUAGAAACCAGGAAAGAACCACACACCUUGCAGAUGAUUGGAAAACUGUUGAAGAGAAAUACAAGCAGGGAGCCUCCGUAGCUGCCGCACAGAAUGUCCUGGACUUACAGAGGGAGGCUCCUUCACUGUAGGAACCUAGCAUACGAUGGUGGUGAGUGUGCUGGAAACCUAGAAGACAUUGCUAAACACACAGUGCAUAAUGCUUGCUGGAACAUGUCUUACAAACUCACAUCUCUUCAGACAUGUUUUUGAAAUGGUGCUGCUGUACCUAUAUAAACCUCCUGUCAGUAGUUCUCCAUAGAUUUGUAAGCUAAACUCAAACAGGUGUAGUAGCAACAAACAAUUGGAAAAUGAAAUUUUAGAAAUACUAUUUGCAACAUAAAAUAUCAACUAUCUAGUCAUCUGACAAAGAUAUGCAAAGCUUCUAUGCUGAAAAUUGCAAAACUUUGCUGAGAGAAGUUAGAGAAGAGCUAAAUAAUUGGAGAGAGAAACUAUCCCCUUGGAUUAAAAGACCUCCGAUUUUUGAGAUAACCAUUUCCUCCCAAACAUCUACAAAUAACAUGUAAGCCUAGAUUAUUUUUUUUUUGCUAACAACUUUACAGAUGCAAAAUUUCUAACAAGAUACUCAUAUUUUGAAGGUACAUUUCAAUAAAAUUUGAUACAAAAUUUAUCUAAUGUAUUCACCACCAUACUCAAGAUCUAAAACACUUCCAACGGGGCCAACGCCGCGGCUCAGUAGGCUAAUCCUCUGCCUAUGGCGCCGGCACCCCCAGGGUUCUAGUCCCGGUUGGGGCACCGGAUUCUGUCCUGGUUGCUCCUCUUCCAGUCCAGCUCUCUGCUGUGGCCCAGGAGUGCAGUGGAGGAUGGUCCAAGUGCUUGGGCCCUGCACCUGCAUGGGAGACCAGGAGGAAGCGCCUGACUCCUGGCUUCGGAUUGAUGCAGUGGGCCAGCCGUGGCAGCCAUUUGGGGGGUGAACCAACGGAAGGAAGACCUUUCUCUCUGUUUCUCUCUCUCUCUAACUCUGCCUGUCAAAAAAUAAAUAAAUAAAAAUUAAAAAAAAAAAACCACUUCCAUCACUACAAAACCCCCUCUACACCUAGUCCCUUCCCUCUGCCACUACUUCCAGGAUACCACUGACCUGCUCCCUGUCUCAUUUCCCUGACUGCUCACAUGAAUGGCAUCAGUCAGUGGUGUUAUUUUUAUGUCUUGCUUUGUUUCACUGGAAAACGUUUUUGAAAUUCAUCCAUGUGGUUGCACAUUUCAGUUGCUUGCUUUUUCUGUUUGCUGAUUACUAUUCCAUUGUAUGAAUACAUCCCAAUUUGUUUAUCCAGUCAACUCUUGAUGGAUGGCUGAGAUUUCCUAGUGUGUGGGUGGGGGGACGGGGUUGGGGCUACUAUGAAGAAAGCUUUGAGAAUAUUCAUUUGUAAGGUUUUGUGCAGAUCAGGGUUUCUCAACCUCAGCACUACUAACUUUUAAGGUGGGAACCCUUUCUUGGGUAUGGGGUAAUCAGUGCGUUAUAAGGUAUUUAGCUUUCAGUUGCACCCCCAGUUGUAACAAUAAAAAAUGUCUCCAGACACUGCCAUGUAUUCCCUGUGGGAAGAGGCCUUUUUUCAUUGCUGUAGCAUAAAUACCCAAGAAUGGAAUUACUGAGUCCUCGUGUAAAUGUAUAUUUAACUCUGUAAGAAACUGAUUGAGAGGCUGUUUCAUUUGACAUAAUCACCAGCAAUAUAUCAGAUGCCUAGAUGCCAACAUUUGGUACUGACAAUCAUUUUCAUUUUAACACUUCUAUUUCAAAUAGGUGGUUUUAAUUUAACAAUCUAACAAUUAAUAAAGUGCGAUUUUGAGCAUCAUUUCUUGUGCCUGUUAGCACUGUAUUUGCCUUUUUAUAAAGUGACUGUUCAAGUCUUUUGCUCAUUUCUAAAUUAUUAUCAUUCUUUUAUUGUUACUUUUGAAGGAACAUUUCAUAUAUUGUGAAUGGGAUUCCUUUAUUAGGCAUAUGUGUUUCAACCAUUUUCCAAGUCUGUGACUUAUUUAUUUGCUUCCUAAUGAUGUCUUAUUUACUGAUAUUUUCUUUCCUAUUCCAAAAAGAUCUUCGUUCUGUCUUCUCAAUGUUGUGAAGAUGUUCUUAGGAGGUUUUAUGUUUUGACCACGGUCCAUUGUGAAUGUAUUUUUGCAGAUGGAGGAAGAUAGAAGCUCAGCUUUGUUUGCUUCCAUUUGUACAUCCAGCUACAUCCCUAUUUGUUAAAAAGAUUUUCCUCAUUAGUGACUUGACAAAAUUCAAUUCAGUGCUGUGUCGGGGUCUGUUUCUGGACUCUCUCUGUUCCGUUCUAUUUAUCUAGUUGUUUCUCAGUCUCUUUUAUUAUCAGACCCCUCCCCCCCAGGAGCUUUUCUGAACAUUUUUAUUCUUAAUUGUCCUUCUCCUUCAUGAACUUUCUUUCUAACCUUUUUUUUUUUUCCUAUUGGGUAAAAUACACGUAGCAUAAAAUUUUCUAUCAACCAUUUUCUAUCAUAUAUAUUGUUAUGU
Molecule: non-coding RNA, 12985 nt
Organism: Oryctolagus cuniculus (rabbit)
Lineage: Eukaryota; Metazoa; Chordata; Mammalia; Lagomorpha; Leporidae
Source: RefSeq, a predicted model, not a curated record